UUGUGCCCGGCCGGACCGAACCCUACAAAAGACCGCCACUCUCUAACCAGAAAACGGAGCGGCGGACCUGCGACGGCGGCGGAGCAGCUCGCAGUCUCCAACCCUAAACUCUCGCCGCCGCCGCCGCCGCCGCCGUCGUCAAAGCUCUAGCUCGAAAGGACAUCGCUCCUCCGGCCAUGGCUGGGGGCAAGCUGAGGAAGGACAAGCCCAGGGCCGGCGGCAAGGCGGCCUCCUCCGCCGCGGCGCCGUACCAGGGGGGCAUCUCCUUCCACAAGUCGAAGGGCCAGCACAUCCUGAAGAACCCGCUCCUGGUCGACUCCAUCGUCCAGAAGUCCGGCAUCAAGACCACCGACGUCGUCCUCGAGAUCGGCCCCGGUACCGGUAACCUCACCAAGAAGCUCCUCGACGCCGGCAAGUCCGUCGUCGCCGUCGAGCUCGACCCCCGCAUGGUCCUCGAGCUCCAGCGCCGGUUCCAGGGCACGCCCUACUCGCACCGCUUGAAGGUUAUCCAGGGCGAUGUGUUGAAGACUGAGCUACCCUACUUUGACAUAUGUGUGGCCAACAUUCCUUACCAGAUCUCCUCUCCCCUCACGUUCAAGUUAUUGAACCACCAACCACCCUUCAGGUGUGCGGUGAUUAUGUUUCAGAGGGAAUUUGCAAUGAGACUGGUGGCUCAACCUGGUGAUAAUCUCUACUGUCGUCUCUCUGCAAACACCCAACUGCGUGCUCGAGUCUCUCAUCUCCUAAAAGUCGGAAGGAACAACUUCCGGCCGCCCCCAAAGGUGGACUCGUCUGUGGUUAGGAUCGAGCCAAGAAAACCAGCUCCUGACGCAAAUCUUGUGAGGGAGUUUGAUGGGUUGAUGCGUAUAUGUUUCAAUCGGAAGAACAAAACACUUGGUUCCAUUUUUCGGCAGAAAACAAUGCUUUCUGUGAUGGAGAAGAAUUAUAAGACUCUCCAGGCGUUACAUCAAUCGCAGAGUAAUUUAUCAGGGGAUUCAAAGGUUGGAAUGGAUGGUUUAGAUUUUGGAGAUAAUGGGGAUGACUUGGGGAUGGAGGUUGAUGACGGUGGAGACGACGAGAUGGAGUUGGAGGAUGGCGACGCAGGGGAAGUUUCGGAAUUUAAGGAGAAAGUUUUGAAUGUGUUGAAGGAGGGUGAUUUUGAAGAGAAGAGAUCAUCCAAGCUCACACAGCAGGAGUUCUUGUACUUGCUCUCCUUGUUUAACAAGGCUGGUAUACAUUUCUCUUGAUGAGUGUAGCAAUUUUGAGUUCAGUCUUUCACGGUAAUUGCCCAGAGGCUGGUUAGGAAGUGGCGUUAGUCUCCAAUUGCACAAGCGUUACUGCAGAACUAACAUGACACACUUAACGGGUUCCUUGCAUCUUCAACUGUCGUACAAUGCAUCCAAUUUGGUUCUGGCCCUGCAAUAUAGGCACCGAGACUUGGCUUAACAUAAUUUCACACUCGGGAUCGCCCUUCCUUCUCUCUUGUUCCCUGCGCUUGCUUUCCGUCGCCUGCUCAUGCCGAUGCUCCACCAAAGGUCUUUCCUUUGCUUCUCCCAAAUUGGCUUUCUUCUCGAACCAGCGCUGACACUCCGAUAGGUUUGUAUUGCAGACCCCCGAGGAGACAUUUUCGGUUUAUUGUGUGACAAAAUCUCAUGACACUUA
RNA transcript from Eucalyptus grandis, 1662 nucleotides. It is a transcript of the gene named ribosomal RNA small subunit methyltransferase, with no coding region annotated. The transcript is spliced from 4 exons. The record is from RefSeq and is a predicted model, not a curated record. Lineage: Eukaryota; Viridiplantae; Streptophyta; Magnoliopsida; Myrtales; Myrtaceae.